AAUAGAGCAGUAAAGAAGAAAUAUUAAUCUAGAAAAUAAUUAUUCUUAAAUGAAAGAGUUACAGAGGGAAGACAUUAAAACAAGCAAAUAGAGCAAACAAGAAACAAACAACAAGUAAACAAGAAAAAAACAACAAGCAAACAAGAAAAAAAAUAUUGAGUGUCAUCAUCAUAACCAAGACGACUAGGAGGAAAAAACACUUCAGAGUUAUCAAGGUUGCACAAAGACUCCCUUUUGUCUUCAAAUUUCAUCUAACAUAGGUUGUGUCUCCCCAAUUUAACUAAAUAGUCAUUUGACUCUUCCAAUUCUAUAUAGAAUCCAACACACAUUAGAAUAUUUGUAAUCAGGUCACCAUAUUGUAACCACACACUUCGCUUCCUUUGGCAUUGAAUCAGGUGGUAGAUUACCCCAUCUAGCCUAAUUAGUUUCAUCAUUGUUGGCUAU
Molecule: long non-coding RNA, 444 nt
Filed under: Lathyrus oleraceus (garden pea)
Lineage: Eukaryota; Viridiplantae; Streptophyta; Magnoliopsida; Fabales; Fabaceae
Description: Pisum sativum (pea) long non-coding RNA (PSAT_LNC010932)
Source: RNAcentral